This 447-nucleotide ribosomal RNA is filed under the name uncultured bacterium. Its description in RNAcentral is "bacterial SSU rRNA". It matches the Rfam family "Bacterial small subunit ribosomal RNA", at positions 330 to 794 of the family's 1533-position model. The record is from RNAcentral.
GCCAGACUCCUACGGGAGGCAGCAGUGGGGAAUAUUGCACAAUGGGGGGAACCCUGAUGCAGCGACGCCGCGUGGGUGAAGGAGCACCUCGGUGCGUAAAGCCCUAUCGGCAGGGAAGAAACAGACGGUACCUGACUAAGAAGCCCCGGCUAACUACGUGCCAGCAGCCGCGGUAAUACGUAGGGGGCAAGCGUUAUCCGGAUUCACUGGGUGUAAAGGGAGCGUAGACGGCGACGCAAGUCUGGAGUGAAAGCCCGGGGCCCAACCCCGGGACUGCUCUUGGAACUGCGUGGCUGGAGUGCAGGAGGGGCAGGCGGAAUUCCUGGUGUAGCGGUGAAAUGCGUAGAUAUCAGGAGGAACACCGGUGGCGAAGGCGGCCUGCUGGACUGCAACUGACGUUGAGGCCCGAAAGCGUGGGGAGCAAACAGGAUUAGAUACCCCCGUAGA